AGAAUGUUUAUGCUUUAGUAGCACUGAUGAAAACCCAGCAUGGAUUUCUUACACCUGGAACAUGUUAUAUGUCUGGAUUCACACCAAGGACCAGGUCCCUAGGGAAAACAAGUUCCAUGUGAAGCCACUACAGGUAAGGACCACUGAAAGCACUCUACCAGUUGGGGUGAUGAUGGUGGACUAGCAACAUCCUUACAGCCAAUUGGCACAUGCUGGAAUAGGUUCCCUGUGUGUGUGAGAGAGAGAAUUUGGUGCAGUAGCUAGCAUGCAGUUUUGUUUCUGCUAAACUGGAAAGGCCGUAGCCUGCAGUUGAAUGGGCAGCCACAUGUGGAUACUGACUGCUAUGCAUUAUUCACACGAAUGGGGCUAGUAAGUGCUACUUGGUACAGCUUGGAAUCUUUGGAGGGCUGUUCCGAGAUUGGAAACGAGUUCUGUUUAUGCUGAUGUGUGCCUUUGGUGGGCUUAUGCUCCUUCCUUGCUUAAUUCCCAUAAUUCAGUCUAUAGUAACUUGCACCAUUGAAGGUAUGAUGGUGGUCACAACCAACCCAAAGAAACCUGAUGCCCUGGCAAAAACCCUGGCACUCAGAUCUGUCCCAAGGGAAUGUUCUUCCUUGCUUCAAUGACAACCCAUGGAGGCCACCUCCAGGGUUGCAUAUAUGAAAAGGGAGGAAAUGAAGGAGCCUGAUUAGCUUAACUAAUGUUAUUUAGUUCUAGCUUAACUAACGCUAUUUGCUUUUGUAAAAAGCUGCUUGCUUGAAAGCUUGGUUAGCUCAGUUAACGCCAUUUGCUUUCUGUAUAACUGCUUGCUUUGGAGAAGAAAAAGGGUAGGCAAAAGAAUGUUAGGCAAAAGAAUGUUGAUAAGGUAAGAUAAGGGUAUUGUGAAGAAGACGACUCCCUACGCAAGGCCUGGCACGCUGUGAUCACACUCGGUCUGUGAAGGGAUUGGAUGGAGCGAUCCUCUUCCACGAGGACAGGCAUGCAGUGGACAUGCAGACCCCGUAAGGGGAUUGGGCAAAGGGUCAGGCAGACCCUGGGAGGUGACUGGAUGAGGGAACAAUGGGGGUGAGAUUGUGUGAGAAACAGUAAGGAAGAAAGAAGCUAUAAGAAGGAUGAGUUGAUGGAAUGUGUUGUGUUGUUGCUUCCUGCCUGUGUACUGGGAAGCUGACACCUGGUUGCCCUUCUCAGCUGAAUAAAGGAACCAAAUGAA
This is a long non-coding RNA of Varanus komodoensis (Komodo dragon), 1207 nucleotides long. RefSeq lists it as uncharacterized. Lineage: Eukaryota; Metazoa; Chordata; Lepidosauria; Squamata; Varanidae. The record is from RefSeq and is a predicted model, not a curated record. The transcript is spliced from 2 exons.